RNA transcript from Pyrus x bretschneideri (Chinese white pear), 2246 nucleotides. RefSeq lists it as uncharacterized. The transcript has 2 exons. The record is from RefSeq and is a predicted model, not a curated record. NCBI's taxonomy places the organism in Eukaryota, Viridiplantae, Streptophyta, Magnoliopsida, Rosales, Rosaceae.
UUUUCUUUCUCCAUAUAAACCCCACCUCAACUUGAAGCUCACACACCAAAUUUAAAGUCUUUCCCAAACCUAAUUUAUAACAUCCUACCAACCAUAAAAUAGCUCUAGCUUUUCUGCCUUCUCCGCAGCCCUUAAUUCUUCCUGUCCUCCUCAUAGUUUUUCUUCUCCUCCCUUAAUUGCUCUUCUCCGCCGUCUUCCCCCCUUGAAUUCUUCUCCCAAGCAAUUGUGGCCAGAGACGAAGCAACAGGAAACCAAUGAGAUAUAUGAUGAUGAUAUGCUUUCCCUUUAGCCAAUGAUUUACCCCAUCCCCGAUUCCCGAUCCCUCAUCCUCAAUCCAUCUGUUGUCCUACUCUCCUAAGGUCUUCAAUUUGACAACCUACGAGGAUUAGAUUUUGUGACUAUUUGGUCAUCACAGAUCGUCAAAAUGAAUAGCAAGACUCAUACCCUUUUAUGUUAUUCAAAUGUUAAUGCUUUUUGCUUCUUAAUUUUCUAUUUAUUAUUUGUUUAAAUUUUUGUUUAACAUCAGCUGCAGGUUUUUUUUUAUGCAAGGAUCUAAGAAGGCUUAUAUUUACAAUUUUUUAUAUGCCAGGAUCUAAGAAGGCUUAUAUUUACAAAAAUGAAAAAGAAAAGAAGGCUUAUAUUUGGAGUAACAUUGUUAAAUCUGAAACGACAUCAACAACCCUUUUGCUUUUUGGAAUGGAAGGGGUAGGAAAGAAAAAAACGUCAGCGUCAUCAAGGGGACACCGGUGAGUAUUAUUUACUGAUAUUUUGUUAUUGUUGUGGCCUGUAUUUAGUAAAGAGGUGCGGCAAAGAGAAGAGAAAGAUUGAAGAAUAGAUUUGAGGAAUUGUGUGUUAAUUCCCUAGUCAUAAGGAGAAGAGAAACUUGAUCUUCAAGUAAUACAAAGUAUAUUAGGAAAGAUCUUCUAGAUCUCAAAGGAUUCUUACUUUAUCUCUACUUAAGAUUUACACAAUCACAUAUUGAUAAGAACAUAUGUCACAACAGUUAUUUAUGAUUUCGUAAAUUUUCAUAUAAUUCUUAGUAGUGGUGCAUGAGGUUUAAUGUACUAGAUGAUAAGUGUUGGGUUUCUACCUAUGCGCUCUGGUUUGAAAUUCCUCCUAAAUUAUUAUUAAUAAUUCCGGACUACCCCUCUCUAAUAAUAAUAAAAAAAUGAUUACUGUUUAACAAUACAAAAAUAAAAGUAUUUUCUUCUUUUGUUCAUUUGUUAAUUUUAUGUCCACUUAAAAUGUGAUGUGCGAGUGAGAUGUCUUAGGUUCGAUUCUUGUCAAAAGCAAAUUUGAACCAUAUUAUUGUUAGUCCAUUGUAAGACUAAGUCCAUCUCCUCCCUUUUAGUGUGGAUAAUAUCGUUUGUUCAAAAAAAAAAAAUGUGACAUGUCGUAGUCACUUAGUACUAAAGUCUAGUGGUAUUCCUCCCCACUUGUAAGUGAGAGGUCUUAGGUUCGGUUCUCGCCAAAGGUGAAUUUGAACCAUGUUAUUAUGGUUAGCCCAGUAUGAGGCUUAACCUACUUCUCUACUCUAGUGUAGAUAAUAUCAUGUGUUUAAAAAAAAAAAAGUAACGUGUUGUUGCACAAGUAACAUAAUUAUUUUAUUUCAUUGGACACGACAUUGCUCAACUUUUAUUAAAAUUAUUGUAAAACACGGAUAUGCAUUACAAUAAUUUAGGAGGAGUUUCAAACCGGGACUUUUAUUAAAAUUAUUGUGAUAAAAGUUGAGCAAUGUUGUGUCCAAUAUGAGUACGAGUGGCAUUUUUUGUGUGACUUUUACCAACCAAUUUGUAUUUGUGUACAUAUGGAGACGAAUUAUAUUGAAGGGAAUCAUGGUUUAUACAUGAUAUUAUUAAGUCUGAUUGGGUGGACAACAAAAUGGAUUUUUGCAGGACACUAGCAGAGAAUAUGUUGUGGACUGGACGCCUAUUAUGGGUCCCAUCAACAACCAGGAGGUUAGUCCUCAUUGUUUGGCUAUAUUCAUAUGCGUCGAGGCACUGCAUGCUUUAGAGACAUGGAGACAAAUUGUGCUCUCUUCGCAAAAUGAGACGUCUUCGAGUUCACAACGAUCGAGUAUACUCCCAAGUCUUUCGAACUCACGAAGGCUAAUGGUGUUAUCCUCGAGAAGGAUUGGCCAUAUAAAGGAAACAAGAGAAGACAAGAUUCAUUUGUGAAAUUGGCUUAUAAUACACAUAACUUUUAGUUUAAUACAUAAAUACUCACUUUAAAACUUUCUCAUUUUA